ACUCCUACGGGAGGCAGCAGUGGGGAAUUUUGCGCAAUGGGGGAAACCCUGACGCAGCGACGCCGCGUGGAGGAUGAAGGUCUUCGGAUUGUAAACUCCUUUUGUCGGGGAAGAUAAUGACGGUACCCGGCGAAUAAGCCACGGCUAACUCUGUGCCAGCAGCCGCGGUAAGACAGAGGUGGCAAGCGUUGUUCGGAAUUACUGGGCUUAAAGGGCGCGUAGGCGGUGGAGUAAGUCUGAGGUGGAAGAUUAGGGCUUAACCCUAAAAUUGCCUUGGAAACUGCAUCACUUGAGUCAGCGAGGGGAUGGCGGAAUUCCAGGUGUAGCGGUGAAAUGCGUAGAUAUCUGGAGGAAGGCCGGUGGCGAAGGCGGCCAUCUGGCGCUGAACUGACGCUGAGGCGCGAAAGCGUGGGGAGCAAACAGGAUUAGAUACCCUGGUAGUCCACGCCCUAAACGGUGGGUACUAGGUGUAGGGCUCGUAAGGGUUCUGUGCCGUAGGGAAACCAUUAAGUACCCCGCCUGGGG
RNAcentral lists this ribosomal RNA (525 nucleotides) under uncultured bacterium. Its description in RNAcentral is "bacterial SSU rRNA". It matches the Rfam family "Bacterial small subunit ribosomal RNA", at positions 335 to 878 of the family's 1533-position model. The record is from RNAcentral.